Mytilus californianus (California mussel) is the source of this 669-nucleotide long non-coding RNA. RefSeq lists it as uncharacterized. NCBI's taxonomy places the organism in Eukaryota, Metazoa, Mollusca, Bivalvia, Mytilida, Mytilidae. The record is from RefSeq and is a predicted model, not a curated record. The transcript is spliced from 3 exons.
CAGAAAAUUCAAGAAUAAUUGAAAAUAUUACUUCUACACACAGCUAAUGAGAGGAAAACGUCAUGUAUAGAGUCAUGGCGAACAAACAUCUCUCAGGUCAAUGUCAAUGAUCGUUUGUAUGACGAACUAUCAUUUGUACAGUGCAUAUUCUUUAUCGGUGUAACAACUUUUUCUAAUAGUUUGACAUUGCAUUUUGGAGUAUUGAUGACGACAUAGUAGAUGAUCAAAGAGUUGCAAAAUGGAAAAUGCUGUAGCCAGGAGGGCACAAUGGUUAACAGAAUGCACGUACGAAUGGUAGAACGAAUGCACGAACGCACAAACCGAUGACUUAAUAGUCUUUGCUUCAUUAAUCGGAGUAUUGAAAAAUUUAGUGUUUCAAGACUCAAUAUAUUGUGAUCAAUCAUAAGGUUUUAGGUGGUAUUUUUUUUUUACUGUUGUUGCCAUUCCGAAUUCUUUGUUCUGUUCAUAGUGAUAUAUGUCUUUUUAUAAAAAUUUUGCAUCUUCUAAUGUUCUUCUGACUAUGAAUAAUACGUCUUUAAAAUGAUAAAUCAAAUUUUUAAAUCCAAAGAUAUUUUUUGUGAACCUACCAAUUUGUUUAAACAUUACAUCUCAUUGAUGAUUGAAAUGUUAAUCCAUUAGGCCUAAUUUUUAUCUGAAAAUAAAGGCAGA